RNAcentral lists this unclassified non-coding RNA (298 nucleotides) under Hevea brasiliensis (rubber tree). The record is from RNAcentral. Lineage: Eukaryota; Viridiplantae; Streptophyta; Magnoliopsida; Malpighiales; Euphorbiaceae.
GGUAUAAAUCAUAUUUCUUAAAAAAAUGAAAUAUGUUUCUCAAAUUCUAUGGCCAAACACAUGGUAAAUUUCACCCAAAUUUUCAUCCAAAUAAUAUUUGCCAAAAAUAUUUGAAUAUCUAUGGCCAAACGCUAGCUUAAGGAACGCAGGCUAAUAAUAGGUAUAAUAAUUGAUGAUGGGAAGAGUGCAAUUCAUAUAAUUAAUACAUAAAGAGAUUCAAACAAAUAUCACGCCAAGACCAAACCCGACAACACUCAUGGAUGUUUACAAACUCCAAUUUCUUUUAGACUCAAAAUUU